AUUUAUAGCGAUGAAGUCAACGGUAUAAACCCUAGCUUGCCUCUAUAAAUUGCCCAAACUUGUUCUUGCUCCCCCAGAAGGUCCACAAGCUUUCGACCCUCUAGUUGGUGAACAUAAAGAAAAGCAGAAAAAUGAGGUUUUUAGCGCUUGCUCUAGCCUUGAUGAUGGUGACUUCUUGUUCGGCAGCAGCUCGGAAGAUGUUGACGGUUGAAAAUAAUGUGCAAGAGCAGGAGGCGCAAGCGCAGAAUGUGAACGAUGUGAAUGAUCACCACGCUAUUCCGAGAAAGGACUUCGGCAACUAUAUUGGCAACAAUAAUGGGAAUGGCGGUGGGACAAAACCCUAGUAUAAUUAGCAUGCCAUAUAUAACUUUAUAUUUAUUGUAACAUAUCAAUCUGCGUGGCGACUGGCGAGCACAUAUAUAAAUGUUCUCUACUAUAAAUAAUGCCAAAUGCUAAUAUAUAACUUCAUAUUUAUUGUAACAUAUCAAUCUGUGUGGCGACUGGUGAAUACAUAUAUAUGUUACAUGUUGCGUGGUUACAAUCGUAUUACAUGUGCUUCGAAUUUCCUUGUGAA
Alnus glutinosa is the source of this 574-nucleotide long non-coding RNA. RefSeq lists it as uncharacterized. The transcript is spliced from 2 exons. The record is from RefSeq and is a predicted model, not a curated record. Lineage: Eukaryota; Viridiplantae; Streptophyta; Magnoliopsida; Fagales; Betulaceae.